UGGGGAAUAUUGGGCAAUGGGCGAAAGCCUGACCCAGCGACGCCGUGUGGGUGAUGAAGGCCUUCGGGUCGUAAAGCCCUGUUGGGUGGAAAGAAGGGCUCAGAUGUGAAUAAUAUUUGAGCCUUGACGGUACCACCAGAGGAAGCACCGGCUAACUCCGUGCCAGCAGCCGCGGUAAUACGGAGGGUGCAAGCGUUGUUCGGAAUUACUGGGCGUAAAGGGCGCGUAGGUGGUUGCGUAAGUCGAAUGUGAAAUCCUGAGGCUUAACCUCAGAACUGCAUCCGAUACUGCGUGACUCGAGGGCAGCAGAGGGAAACGGAAUUCCUGGUGUAGAGGUGAAAUUCGUAGAUAUCAGGAGGAACACCGGUGGCGAAGGCGGUUUCCUGGGCUGACACUGACACUGAGGCGCGAAAGCGUGGGUAGCAAACA
RNAcentral lists this ribosomal RNA (429 nucleotides) under uncultured prokaryote. RNAcentral describes it as "bacterial SSU rRNA". It matches the Rfam family "Bacterial small subunit ribosomal RNA", at positions 355 to 774 of the family's 1533-position model. The record is from RNAcentral.